This 323-nucleotide ribosomal RNA is filed under the name uncultured eukaryote. Its description in RNAcentral is "partial 18S ribosomal RNA". It matches the Rfam family "Eukaryotic small subunit ribosomal RNA", at positions 1470 to 1796 of the family's 1831-position model. The record is from RNAcentral.
CCCUUAGAUGUUCUGGGCUGCACGCGUGCUACACUGAUAUUGCCAAUAUGUCAUUCUUAUCCGAAAUGGAUUGGGUAAUCAAGUAAUGAAAUUUCAUGCUUGGAAUCGGUAAUUGCAAUUUUAUCGUGAACGAGGAAUUCCUAGUAAGCACUAGUCAUCAGCUAAUGUUGAUUAUGUCACUGCCCUUUGUACACACCGCCCGUCGCUACUACUGAUUGGGUGUUCAAGUGAGAUGCUUAGACCCUUGUUGCAUGGUUCAUUAUUGUGCUCCGAAAGGAAAAAGUUUCAAGCUUGAGUGUCUAGAGGAAGUAAAAGUCGUAACA